CCAGUCUUCAGGAAGGAGUUAAUGGCCUUAUAAGAACGCCCUGGGGGUACUGGCAGAGUAUUUGCCUAGCAUGUGUGAGGCGCUGGGUUUGAUCCCCAGCUCCUCAAAAAUAAAGAACAAAUUAAUUAAAAAGGCCUUAUGGGAGUGGGCUCACUCUUUUACUUUUCUGUUUCUUCUGUUGCUCCUCUCUGAAGGGUGCAGCAUUUAAGGAGCCAUCUGGAAUUGAAGGCUGGGCUCUCACUAGACACUAAACGUACCAGCACUAACUGAGGAAUCAAUUUCUGUUCUUUAUAAAUUACUCAGUCUCAAGUAUUGUAUUAUAGCAGCACAAAACGGACUAAGACAGUCGCUCUGUAGACUCAGCCAGGAUUAUGAACCACGUCAAUCCACAAACAUGCAUUUAUUGAUAACUUGGAUUAUAUUGGCAUUUUAAAUUACAAAUUAUUUUAAAAAUGUAGAAAAGAACAAAUAAUGAGUAUCCUUUUUGCUUUACUCAAAGCAAAAUUUAACAUUUUGCCAUAUUUCAUAAAAAAGUUAAAUAAACCCUCAUACCAAUCCUUGCCCUUAAGUUCCAUAGUUGAGAGCACUGUUGUGAAGAGGAUUGUGAAUAUUUGUUAUUUUUCAGUUAAAUGUGUUCAUGUACAAUCUGUAUGUUUAUUGUUCCUGCCUUUAAAAAAUAUGCAUAAGUAAUAUCAUUGAAUAGGUCUUUUUAAAAGAUGGUUUUUAACACUUUGAGCUUCAUUCAUGUUAGUAAAUAGGUGUGAUUAGUUCAUUUUGACUACUACAUAGUAUUUCACAUAUUAAUAUGCUGUUAUUUAUGGACACUGAGGUUGCUGUGGGUUUUUCAUUACAAAUAAUGCAGAAAUAAGCAUGCUAGUUCUUUGUCAUAUGGGCAAUAGUUCUAUAGAGCUAUAGUUUUCAAACUGGGGAGUAUUCCCUCAGAGCAGAGACUUUAAUUUCACCUCCCAUAUUCUUUCCAUAGUUGUUCUGCCUAGGGAUAAAUUUUUGAAGGUGUAGGUAUCUUUUCCUAAUCACCCAACCCCCACAUUUCAAAAGGAACUCUACCUCUCACCCAGUUCCAGAUUAACUGCAGUGCAUAAUACUAAGGUGUAUAAAUUUCUGGAGCCCCAAAGAGAUAAUUUAAAAUUAUUGGGGUCAGUGGUCAAAAAGUGAAUAAUUGAUUCUCUGAUUUCUUUUAACCAGUUGGCUUAUCUAAAAUAAUUUUAAUGGUAGAUGAGUUUUACCUUUCCCCCUGUCAUAUGGUCAGAAGUUCAAAGGAGUGCCAUUGCUAUCACAAUAUUUUUUUAUUUACUUGUUUAUGUGAAAAAAAAAUUAACACUUAAAUUUAGUUCUAACACCUAUAAUCCCAGCUACUUGGGAGGCUGAGGAAGGAGGAUAGCAAAUUCAAGGCCAGCCUGGGCAACUUAGUGAGACUCUAUUUCAAAAAUAAAAGGGGGGCUGGGGUUGUGGAUCAGUGGUAGAGUGCUUGCCUUGUAUGUGGAAGGCACUGGGUUUGAUCCUCAGCACCACCCACGUAAAGAUAAAGUGAAGGUAUUGUGUCUAUCUGCAAUAAAUAAAUGACUGACUGAAUGAAUGAAUGAAUAAAAAGGUCUGAGAGUAGCAGAGUGGCAAAGGACCAGUGGGUUCAAUCCUCA
RNAcentral lists this long non-coding RNA (1655 nucleotides) under Marmota monax (woodchuck). The record is from RNAcentral. Lineage: Eukaryota; Metazoa; Chordata; Mammalia; Rodentia; Sciuridae.